GGGGUUGUGGCUCAGUGGCAGAGCACUUGCUUAGCAUGUAUGAGGCACUGAGUUCCAUUCUCAGUACCG
Molecule: transfer RNA, 69 nt
Filed under: Ictidomys tridecemlineatus (thirteen-lined ground squirrel)
Lineage: Eukaryota; Metazoa; Chordata; Mammalia; Rodentia; Sciuridae
Description: Spermophilus tridecemlineatus (thirteen-lined ground squirrel) tRNA
Rfam family: tRNA
About the family: Transfer RNA (tRNA) molecules are approximately 80 nucleotides in length. Their secondary structure includes four short double-helical elements and three loops (D, anti-codon, and T loops).
Source: Rfam by way of RNAcentral